CUACAAUACUCAUCGAGCACAUUAUCCCGAGGUUCGGAUUGCCUGGACCCUCCAGUCAGACAACGGACCUGCCUUCAUCUCCAGUGUAACCCAACAGGUUGCUGAGAGCCUCAACAUAACCUGGAAACUUCACAUCCCAUACCACCCACAGUCAUCGGAUAAGCCCCGUGUAGGGAAAGAGUGUGGA
This is a long non-coding RNA of Lutra lutra (Eurasian river otter), 187 nucleotides long. RefSeq lists it as uncharacterized. The record is from RefSeq and is a predicted model, not a curated record. The transcript has 3 exons. NCBI's taxonomy places the organism in Eukaryota, Metazoa, Chordata, Mammalia, Carnivora, Mustelidae.